AAGAUGACGCAGCAGAUUCUAAAGAUGAUAGAGAAGAUGGUAAAGCAGGUUCUAAAGAAGAUGGAGAAGAUCGUACAGCAUAUUCUGAAGAAGAUGGAGAAGAUGGUACAGUAGAUUUUAAAGAAGAUGAAGAAGAUGGUACAGCAGAUUCUAAAGAAGAUGAAGAAGGUGGUAAGCAGAUCCUGAAGAAGAUAUUGAAGAUGGAGGUGAUAAUUUGAGAAAUGACUAAGUCGAAGAUGGAGAGUGGCGAAAAAUAAGGAUUCGACAAGAUGAACCUAUAACAUUUGGGAAACAUUUAUGAGUACUCCACACAUUAUUAAAAAAAAAUAAAGAAAUAACGAUGAGGUUAAAUUCAGAAUCGAGGUUCACAGACAAAUUAAUAAAGAAAUGGUUAAAAUGCCUUUGAAAAAUGUC
Molecule: long non-coding RNA, 414 nt
Organism: Belonocnema kinseyi
Lineage: Eukaryota; Metazoa; Arthropoda; Insecta; Hymenoptera; Cynipidae
Exons: 2
Source: RefSeq, a predicted model, not a curated record